CCUGAUAUUGAAUGUUGGUACAGCUUGUACAGGAUAGGUAGGAGCCUUGGAAACCGGAGCGCUAGCUUCGGUGGAGGCAUCGGUGGGAUACUACCCUGGCUGUAUUGACCUUCUAACCCGCUGCCCUUAUCGGGCAGGGAGACAGUGUCAGGUGGGCAGUUUGACUGGGGCGGUCGCCUCCUAAAAUGUAACGGAGGCGCCCAAAGGUUCCCUCAGAAUGGUUGGAAAUCAUUCGCAGAGUGUAAAGGCACAAGGGAGCUUGACUGCGAGACC
This 273-nucleotide ribosomal RNA is filed under the name Listeria monocytogenes. Its description in RNAcentral is "partial 23S ribosomal RNA". It matches the Rfam family "Bacterial large subunit ribosomal RNA", at positions 2110 to 2382 of the family's 2925-position model. Lineage: Bacteria; Bacillati; Bacillota; Bacilli; Caryophanales; Listeriaceae. The record is from RNAcentral.